GCCCUAACGAAGUACUUUUGCUUUAACUAUUGUAGGUUCGGUUUUCCAAUUUGGCAGCAGCACUACAAAUUUCAACUUCACAAACAAUAAUCCAUCAGGAGUGUUCACAUUUGGUGCAAAUCCUAGCACAUCUGCAGCCUCAGCCCAGCCUUCAGGCUCAGGGGGCUUUCCUUUUAACCAGUCUCCAGCAGCAUUUACAUUGGGGUCAAAUGGGAAAAAUAUGUUCUCUUCUUCUGGAACUUCAGUUUCUGGUCGCAAGAUUAAGACUGCUGUUAGACGCAGGAAAUAAAGGUCACAUUGGUGUGUUAUACACAAGAAUUUUAACAACAGCUGGUGCCCUGCUUUCAGAUACUGGAUUGUGCUUUGUGAUGGGGUUUUCUGAAGUCAGAUCUGCCUAAGGACUUCUUUAGUUUUUGGAAUUUUCCUCCUUUCUCUUUCUUUAUGGAAGCCCCGUCCCCACCUCACCCACCCUCUUUUUAAAAAAUAAUAGCUAGACUGGUGACUGAUUGUUCAGCAAAAAUAUUUUAUCAUCCAGCAGAUUAUUCACUGAUUUGACAUAGUCUGGCUGUACCCAGGAAUGGAGCCUGCACGGCAAAUGGCUUUGUAUAGAACUUCUUUGUCUGCACCACUAUAUGCGUUGAUAAGCAUUUGUGGAAUGCAUUGAAAUUGUAAUUAUAUCUGAGGAAUUCUGUAUAGAUUAGAAUUCUGUAUAGAUUAGAGGAUGUUGACUGAUUUCUAUGCCGAGUUUGUGCUGGUGUAUGUGUGAAAUGAGUGAGUUGGGUGUAUUGUGCACUAAAAUUUUCUGAUAGAGGAAGCCUGAUUAAAGAAUGGUCCCUGCUAAGGACUUGUUAGAUCUAGUUCGGUUUCCAUUUAAUAAUUAUAUGCUAUUUCUAUAUUUUCAUUCUUCUAUCACCUGUCUUGCCUUUUUCAUUAUUUUAUUAUGAAACUUGUGUAAAUACAAUUUUGUUUCUGUACUUUUUUGGCAUAACAUAAAUCUGUGAACUUGAAAUUUGAA
Long non-coding RNA from Propithecus coquereli (Coquerel's sifaka), 1015 nucleotides. RefSeq lists it as uncharacterized. The transcript is spliced from 2 exons. The record is from RefSeq and is a predicted model, not a curated record. NCBI's taxonomy places the organism in Eukaryota, Metazoa, Chordata, Mammalia, Primates, Indriidae.